UAGGGAAUCUUCGGCAAUGGGGGCAACCCUGACCGAGCAACGCCGCGUGAGUGAAGAAGGUUUUCGGAUCGUAAAGCUCUGUUGUAAGAGAAGAACGUGUGUGAGAGUGGAAAGUUCACACAGUGACGGUAACUUACCAGAAAGGGACGGCUAACUACGUGCCAGCAGCCGCGGUAAUACGUAGGUCCCGAGCGUUGUCCGGAUUUAUUGGGCGUAAAGCGAGCGCAGGCGGUUUAAUAAGUCUGAAGUUAAAGGCAGUGGCUUAACCAUUGUUCGCUUUGGAAGCUGUUAAACUUGAGUGCAGAAGGGGAGAGUGGCAUUCCAUGUGUAGCGGUGAAAUGCGUAGAUAUAUGGAGGAACACCGGUGGCGAAAGCGGCUCUCUGGUCUGUAACUGACGCUGAGGCUCGAAAGCGUGGGGAGCAAACAGG
Molecule: ribosomal RNA, 429 nt
Filed under: bacterium
Lineage: Bacteria
Description: partial 16S ribosomal RNA
Rfam family: Bacterial small subunit ribosomal RNA
Source: RNAcentral